UCGAAAUACAGGUGAACGGCAAUCAUGUGAUUAACACACACACACAUAAAAAGCUUUUUAACAGCGCCCGCCCGGCCUCAGAACCGCCCAGAGAGGAGCCGCCCUGGAUGGACAGAGGGACGGAGGGACGAGCAUCCAGCCGUCUCCGACACCCGCGGCCGCCCGCCCGGUGCCCGCCUGGCCGCCCGGUGCCCGCCUGCCUGGCAUCUCGCGAUCCCGCAGGCUGGGAAAUGAUCUCCACCCAGAGAGAACUUCGGUGAGAACAGAAACCACACGAGAGCCCCGUUACUGUAAAAGGCCCAGGAAUCGCAACAACCGGCGGGAGCUUGGAGUGGAAAAAUUUAGGAUGGAACGUCUCACAAGGACAAAAAAGGUCUCACAAGGGACGAUUAACCAGUUUUCAACCGGCUAUGGAAUUUUCCAGGAAUCUCAGGGCUUGGUCUUUUGCUGCAUUUCCAGCUUUCUACAACGAGCAAAUUUUACGGUUGCUUGAAGUGAAGACCAAGGUGCAGCCAGGGCAUGUUAGAGGCCGUCUCUCUGGGAGAUCUCAGCGCGCGCCGAGGGGCUGGGAGCGGAUUGUCCUGCUGGAGGCGAAGAGCUUGAAUGCGAGGAGUGCACCGGACAAAAACACAGGCAGCUUGCCCCGGGGAGCGGCUGCCUGUGCCAUCCAAGUCCUGUCAGGUGGUUGGGGGUGACCUGCCUCAGCGAUGCUGGAGGACGAUGCCGCUGUCGAAAGCAGCCGCCUGUCACCACGAGAUCUUCUCUCCCCGGCUCUGGCCCAUCACCAUUUUUCUUUUUUUAAAGAUUUAUUUAUUUAUGCAUACAAGAACUGGGGUACAAGCCAGAGGUGUGGGGGGGUGAGAGCUUUCACAGAGACAGAGUGGGGAGCAGAACAGGCAGACUGACUGAAAUCCACUGCUGAGGGGAGCAGCGGGGAGACAGGAGAGGUCUGCUGCGCCACGUGGGUCAGCUCCCUGGCUGGGGAUUGAACUUGUGCCUCAGUGACUGGCCUUCACCAUUUUCCAACAGGCUUGUCCACGCCCCUGGACAUUAAGAGGUCAGGGACCCUCGGCCGGCGGGGUCUGAGCUCCUCCACUCCCCAUCUUCUUGGUCCUAUUUGGGGACGGAACGAGGCAGCCCAGAGCAGCCUGCUCAUGGAGGCUGUUCCUGAGCAAGUGACUCCCCAAGGUCACAUGGCUGCUCAAGAGCUGGGUGACUGAAGCAUCAAUGGGUCAAGGAGCCAGGAUGAGAACCUGGCUCUCCGCGAAUACCCCAUCCCCUCCCCCUAUAGCACGGCAGGUGAGGCCCUGCAGAAUCUGAGCCCACUGAUCUGAUCCGCUUAGCCUCCUCCUCGCUCACCAGCGAAGUGUCCUGGCUCACACAGACGACCCUGAUUUCAUUCUGUGCCUUUGUUUAUGCUGAUCCCUCUGCCUGCAGUGCCCUUUCCUGCUGCCCCGGCCCCCUCUGGUCUGACUUCUACUCACUCUUUAAGAAUCUGCUUUGGCAUCACCUCCUCCUGGAAGCCUCCCUGACUUCCUGGUUGUACAAUGGCUGCGGCUUCUGUUCCUGAGUAAAAAUAACUUUGCCCAAGUCCCACACCUGUCUCUCUGUCCCAAAUCUGGGCGAGUUGGGUUCUACCAGAUCAUAGAUGGGCAGGGUUGGCAGGGACAGGAUGUGCUGGGGCCUGAGAUUGGGUGGGGCCAGGACAGGUCAGUACCCUUGGUCACAAUCGCUACUGCUACCAGCUGUAGGAAAUGGGUAUGGGGGUGAAGCAGAGGAGGUGGAGGUGCUGGGAUCCAAUAGACUAGACUCCCACCCCCCCAAACAGGCUGGCCUGGCAUCUCCACAGUUGGGAGGGCGGCCCCUAGCUGUUAUCAAAGGCCAGUAGGGACCCUUCCCUCCAAUGAUGUUGGGGUGGGGGAGGGGGUCUUCCCUGAGGCUGCUCUCUCUCCCACUGCCACUGACAAGCUGGGCCAUCCGUCAGCCUCAAGCAUAAUGGGGUCAUUAACCCCUGACCCCAGCCCCUUUUUAGCCACUUCCUCUGGAGGGCUGCCCCCCUCUCGCCCCUCAAGGCAAACAGCAGGAAAGUUCUGUUAAGUCUCCCUGUUCAAGGAUGGGUCCAGGAGUGGCUGCCCCUUGACUGAUUUAGGGGUCACAGCUCUACAGGCCCUUCCAAAGCUCCAGGGCUCAGAGUCUCCCGGUUUCAUGCUCUGUGGCUGCCUUGGAGAGGGGGGGAGCCUGAAGGGGCCUCCUGCCCUCUGCCACCCACAGGAGCACCCCUCAAGACAAAGCAGUUGUGUGGGGAGGGACACAGGGAACUCAGAGAUCAGAGGUGCCUCUUCCAUUUACAUAGAACAUUCAAAGGAACAUUCUAGACUAGUCCUGCUUGUGAGAUUAGAUGCAAGAAACAAAUCCAGCAAUGAAUGAAUGAAGAGGAAGCGUGGCAGCACUGGGUCUGCCCCGGCACGCAGGAGUGGCGCACGCUUGGAUGACCCACGCUGUCCUUCACCACCUUAAUAAAUUAAGGGAGGAGAGUCAUAUGAUCACCUGGCACUGGCGCUACAUUUCAACAUCUACUUAUGACAAAAAUGCUUUAGCAAACUUGGGAUAGGAAGGAACUUCCUUAAACUGAUGAAUAUUAUCUGCGAAAACCAGCACAAGUACACUUUUUUUUAGAUUUAUUUAUUUAUGCAUACAAGAGCUGGGGUACAGGCCAGAGAUGUGAGGGGGUGAGAGGAUUCACCAGAGACAGAGUGGGGAACAGAACAGGCAGAUUGACCGAAGUACACUGCUGAGGGGAGCAGCAGGUGAGUCAGGAGAGGUCUGCUGCACCCUGUGGUUUGCUCCCUGGCCAGCCGGGGUUGAACUGGUGCUGCAAGAGGCAGUGAGGCUGUGGAUUGCUUCAUGGUGCCAUGCUUAACAGGCCACCCCCCCAGCAAGUACACUUCUUAAAGGUACAGGGCCACAUCCCUUAAGGUGAGGGAUGGUCCCUGCACCCAUCUGUCACUUCAGCUGCACACCUGAGGCCCCAGCUGGAGCAGGAGGCAUGGAAACGCCAACAGCAACAUGGGAGCACUGGUAAGGAUGUGAGACUGGCAUUAUCUGCCGAUGACGUGAUUGCCCAGAAAUCCCCAACUAAUUUGUAGGCACAUGAUUAAAAUGAUGGAAGAUAUUUAGCAGAAAUAUGGUAUCAAAAAGAAGUGGCAGGGCCUCCCUGGUGGCGCAAGGGGUUAAGCACAGCACUGUGAAGCUAUCCGCAACCUCUGGAGCACCUGCUCCAUUCCCAGCCAGCAGGGAGCUACUCACGUGGCGCAGCAGGCCUCUCCUGUCUCACCCCUGCUCCCCUCAGCAAUGAAUUUCAGUCAAUCUGCCUGUUCUGCUCCCCACUGUCUCUGGUGAAUCCUCUCACUGCCUAUCCCCUGUACCCCAGUUCUUCUAUGCAUAAAUAAAUCUUAAAAAAAAGCUUAACCCCCCCCAAAACGAGGGUCUCCCUGGGGCACAAGGGGUUAAGCACCACACUAUGAAGCAAUCUGCAGCCUCUGCAGCACAAGUUUGAGUCCCAGCCGGCCAGGGAGCUACCCACAUGAUGCGGCAGACCUCACCUGGCUCGCCUGCUUCUCCCCUCAGCAGUGUACUUCAGUCAGUCUGCCUGUUCUGUUCCCCAUUCUGUCUCUGGUGAAUCCUCUCACCCCCCCGCAUAUCUGGCCUGUACCCCAGCUCUUGUAUGCAUAAAUAAAUAAAUCUUUUAAAAAAAACGAGUGGCAAUUACAACGUGUGGCUGAAUCUUGGAAGCACCAGGAUGGGUGAAAAAUGCCAAACACGACACGUGAUAUGGGUCCCUUAGAGGGACUGUGCAGGAGACAGAUCUGUGGAGACAGACAGCAGGUGAGCAGGGAUGGAGACGGGGGUAGGGGUGGGUGAGGAGUGACUGCCAAUGGGUAAAGGUUUCUUUUUGGUGUGAUGAGCAUGUUCUGGGAUUAGAUGGUCAUGAUGGUGCUACAACCUUGUGAAUAUCUUAAAAACCACUGAAUAGUUCACUUUAAAAUGUGAAUUUCGGGCCUCCCCGGUGGCGCAGCGGUUGAGCGCUGGGUUGCGAAGCUGCCCGCAGCCUCUGCAGCGCCGGUUCGAUUCCCAGCUGCUCCCCGGCCACCGGAGGAGGGUCCCACAUGGCGCGCAGACCUCUCCUGCUGCCCGCUGCUCCCCUCAGCAGUGUACCUCGGUCCUUCUGCCUGCUCUGCUCCCCGCUCUGGCUCUGGUGA
Long non-coding RNA from Talpa occidentalis (Iberian mole), 4259 nucleotides. RefSeq lists it as uncharacterized. The transcript is spliced from 3 exons. The record is from RefSeq and is a predicted model, not a curated record. NCBI's taxonomy places the organism in Eukaryota, Metazoa, Chordata, Mammalia, Eulipotyphla, Talpidae.